UAGCAAAUGCAUUGGCUCUAUGGCGAAACUUUGUGGGACUCUAGCAGCUGUAUUUCAGAAUGAAGCAAGCAAGUUUUUGCUUAUAUAGAUACUUCUUAAGAGCCUUCAGUGCAACAUAACAUUUAUUUAAGAUCGCUCGGGAUUCCAUUACUCACAAAAUACGCAACACAGACUAAAA
This is a long non-coding RNA of Amphimedon queenslandica, 178 nucleotides long. RefSeq lists it as uncharacterized. The record is from RefSeq and is a predicted model, not a curated record. Lineage: Eukaryota; Metazoa; Porifera; Demospongiae; Haplosclerida; Niphatidae. The transcript has 2 exons.